AUAAUGGUUUUGACUAGCAGAGUAGUCAAGUUUGACUUAGUUUAGAGAGUUCCGGCAGCUGAAAAGGAAUCUAGGUGGCUUGAUGAACCACAGCUAGAAAUAACUGGUGGAUUGAAGAACGUAGGUCGACCCGGGAGUACCCGUUAACACAGUUGAUUUCAAAUCAACCUGAGGUCUACUUUGUGAAGAGUAGAUAAAUUGAGGUGGAACCACGUUUAAACGUCCUCUUG
This 230-nucleotide non-coding RNA is filed under the name Ligilactobacillus agilis. RNAcentral describes it as "Lactobacillus agilis T-box sequence". It matches the Rfam family "T-box leader". Rfam says of the family: Uncharged tRNA acts as the effector for transcription antitermination of genes in the T-box leader family. T-boxes are found upstream of many aminoacyl-tRNA synthetase genes and some amino acid biosynthetic genes usually in Gram-positive bacteria. Lineage: Bacteria; Bacillati; Bacillota; Bacilli; Lactobacillales; Lactobacillaceae. The record is from RNAcentral.